CCCCUCCUUCCUCGCUCGAUUCCUCCCCCUCCUCACAAACAGAGGCGCCUCCUCCUCUACUCUAUCCCUAACCCUAACCCAAGGCGACGGCGCCGUUGACCGCGGCUCUCCCUUCACCGACGGCGCCAUCUCUUCCGAGUCCGAGCUGGAGGAGCACAUCUACGUCGGGGAGGCAGCAAGGCCAGCACGCCGUCGGUCCGUCCUUGCCUGGUUCCUCACCGAGCGCCACGAAGAGGAAAAGAUUGCAAGAUAAACUGAUGAUGCAUGGCUCGGAUGUUGUGCAAGGUCGAGAGUGGGGAUGCUACUUAGAUAAUUAGAAUGCCAUUUUUAGGAUUAAUGUUUCAAACAUUAUUUUUUAGAAUGGCUAAUAAGUUGAUGCAAGGUUGAGAAUUUGCUACUUCUCCAUACUAGAUGGUUUCACAUCUUGUAAACUUCGGAUCAUGUUCUUUGUAAUGCAACAUAUUUGAUUUAAUAUAUGAGAAAUUUUUGUUCA
Molecule: long non-coding RNA, 493 nt
Organism: Triticum dicoccoides
Lineage: Eukaryota; Viridiplantae; Streptophyta; Magnoliopsida; Poales; Poaceae
Exons: 2
Source: RefSeq, a predicted model, not a curated record